RNAcentral lists this ribosomal RNA (460 nucleotides) under uncultured bacterium. Its description in RNAcentral is "partial 16S ribosomal RNA". It matches the Rfam family "Bacterial small subunit ribosomal RNA", at positions 338 to 795 of the family's 1533-position model. The record is from RNAcentral.
CCUACGGGUGGCAGCAGUGAGGAAUAUUGGUCAAUGGGCGUAAGCCUGAACCAGCCAAGUCGCGUGAGGGAUGAAGGUUCUAUGGAUCGUAAACCUCUUUUAUAAAGGAAUAAAGUGAGGCACGUGUGCCUUUUUGUAUGUACUUUAUGAAUAAGGAUCGGCUAACUCCGUGCCAGCAGCCGCGGUAAUACGGAGGAUCCGAGCGUUAUCCGGAUUUAUUGGGUUUAAAGGGAGCGUAGAUGGGUUGUUAAGUCAGUUGGGAAAGUUUGCGGCGCAACCGUAAAAUUGCAAUUGAUACUGACAGUCUUGAGUACAGUUGAGGUAGGCGGAAUUCGUGGUGUAGCGGUGAAAUGCUUAGAUAUCACGAAGAACUCCGAUUGCGAAGGCAGCUUACUAAACUGCCACUGACAUUGAUGCUCGAAAGUGUGGGUAUCAAACAGGAUUAGAUACCCUUGUAGUC